This 645-nucleotide ribosomal RNA is filed under the name uncultured Weissella sp. RNAcentral's name for it is "bacterial SSU rRNA". It matches the Rfam family "Bacterial small subunit ribosomal RNA", at positions 100 to 733 of the family's 1533-position model. Lineage: Bacteria; Bacillati; Bacillota; Bacilli; Lactobacillales; Lactobacillaceae. The record is from RNAcentral.
GAACGGGUGAGUAACACGUGGGAAACCUACCUCUUAGCAGGGGAUAACAUUUGGAAACAGAUGCUAAUACCGUAUAACAAUGACAACCGCAUGGUUGUUAUUUAAAAGAUGGUUCUGCUAUCACUAAGAGAUGGUCCCGCGGUGCAUUAGCUAGUUGGUAAGGUAAUGGCUUACCAAGGCGAUGAUGCAUAGCCGAGUUGAGAGACUGAUCGGCCACAAUGGGACUGAGACACGGCCCAUACUCCUACGGGAGGCAGCAGUAGGGAAUCUUCCACAAUGGGCGAAAGCCUGAUGGAGCAACGCCGCGUGUGUGAUGAAGGGUUUCGGCUCGUAAAACACUGUUGUAAGAGAAGAAUGACAUUGAGAGUAACUGUUCAAUGUGUGACGGUAUCUUACCAGAAAGGAACGGCUAAAUACGUGCCAGCAGCCGCGGUAAUACGUAUGUUCCAAGCGUUAUCCGGAUUUAUUGGGCGUAAAGCGAGCGCAGACGGUUAUUUAAGUCUGAAGUGAAAGCCCUCAGCUCAACUGAGAAUUGCUUUGGAAACUGGAUGACUUGAGUGCAGUAGAGGAAAGUGGAACUCCAUGUGUAGCGGUGAAAUGCGUAUAUAUAUGGAAGAACACCAGUGGCCAAUGCGGCUUUCUGGA